GUGGAACCACCCGAUCCCAUCCCGAACUCGGAAGUGAAACGCAGCUGCGCCGAUGGUAGUGUGGCUCAAGCCAUGCGAGAGUAGGUCAUCGCCAGGG
This 97-nucleotide ribosomal RNA is filed under the name Stenotrophomonas maltophilia. Lineage: Bacteria; Pseudomonadati; Pseudomonadota; Gammaproteobacteria; Lysobacterales; Lysobacteraceae. RNAcentral also lists the same sequence under 3 other names. The record is from RNAcentral.